AGCGAACGCUGGCGGCAGGCUUAACACAUGCAAGUCGAACGCGUGCCUUCGGGCACGAGUGGCGAACGGGUGAGUAACACGUGGGUCACGUACCCUGAGGUGGGGGAUAACCCGAGGAAACUCGGGCUAAUACCGCAUAUGGCUACGGCUAAAAGCCUUCGGGCGCCUUUGGAACGGCCCGCGGCCGAUUAUUUAAUCCUAGUUGGUGAGGUAACGGCUCACCAAGGGUACGAUCGGUAGCUGGUCUGAGAGGACGAUCAGCCACACUGGGACUGAGACACGGCCCAGACUCCUACGGGAGGCAGCAGUGGGGAAUAUUGGACAAUGGGCGAAAGCCUGAUCCAGCCAUGCCGCGUGGGUGAAGAAGGCCUUCGGGUUGUAAAGCCCUGUCGGGAGGGAAGAAAAAAAUGACGGUACCUCGCAAGAAAGCACCGGCUAACUCCGUGC
This 447-nucleotide ribosomal RNA is filed under the name uncultured bacterium. RNAcentral's name for it is "bacterial SSU rRNA". It matches the Rfam family "Bacterial small subunit ribosomal RNA", at positions 29 to 508 of the family's 1533-position model. The record is from RNAcentral.